Molecule: ribosomal RNA, 523 nt
Filed under: uncultured bacterium
Lineage: Bacteria
Description: bacterial SSU rRNA
Rfam family: Bacterial small subunit ribosomal RNA
Source: RNAcentral
UACAGGACGAACGCUGGCGGCGUGCCUAAUACAUGCAAGUCGAACGGUCUUUUCUAUGGAAGCUUGCUUCCACUGAGAAGAUAGUGGCGGACGGGUGAGUAACACGUGGGUAACCUGCCCAUAAGAGGGGGAUAACAUCCGGAAACGGGUGCUAAUACCGCAUAGUUUUCUUGAUCGCAUGAUUGAGAAAGGAAAGACGGCCUUUGUGCUGUCGCUUAUGGAUGGACCCGCGGCGUAUUAGUUAGUUGGUGAGGUAACGGCUCACCAAGACGAUGAUACGUAGCCGACCUGAGAGGGUGAUCGGCCACAUUGGGACUGAGACACGGCCCAAACUCCUACGGGAGGCAGCAGUAGGGAAUCUUCCGCAAUGGACGAAAGUCUGACGGAGCAACGCCGCGUGAGUGAAGAAAGGUUUUCGGAUCGUAAAACUCUGUUGUCAGAGAAGAACAAGUCGGAGAGUAACUGCUCCGGCCUUGACGGUAUCUGACCAGAAAGCCACGGCUAACUACGUGCCAGCCGCUGC